GUGAAGCGGCAACAGCUCAAAUUUGAAAUCUGCCUUCGGGCCGAGUUGUAAUUUGUAGAGGAAGCUUUUGGUGAGGCACCUUCUGAGUCCCCUGGAACGGGGCGCCAUAGAGGGUGAGAGCCCCGUAUAGUCGGAUGCCGAUCCAAUGUAAAGCUCCUUCGACGAGUCGAGUAGUUUGGGAAUGCUGCUCAAAAUGGGAGGUAAAUUUCUUCUAAAGCUAAAUACCGGCCAGAGACCGAUAGCGCACAAGUAGAGUGAUCGAAAGAUGAAAAGCACCUUGAAAAGGGGGUUAAAUAGCACGUGAAAUUGUUGAAAGGGAAGCGUUUGCGGCCAGACUUGCGCCGCCCCGAUCAUCCGGUGUUCUCACCGGUGCACUCGGGGCGGCGCAGGCCAGCAUCGGUUUCGGCGGGGGGAUAAAGGCCCGGGGAACGUGGCUCCUUCGGGAGUGUUAUAGCCCCGGGCGUAAUGCCCUCGCCGGGACCGAGGUUCGCGCAUCUGCAAGGAUGCUGGCGUAAUGGCCGCCAACGACCCGUCUUGAAACACGGACCAAGGAGUCAAGGUUUUGCGCGAGUGUUUGGGUGUAAAACCCGCACGCGUAAUGAAAGUGAACGUAGGUGAGAGCUUCGGCGCAUCAUCGACCGAUCCUGAUGUAUUCGGAUGGAUUUGAGUAAGAGCGUUAAGCCUUGGACCCGAAAGAUGGUGAACUAUGCUUGGAUAGGGUGAAGCCAGAGGAAACUCUGGUGGAGGCUCGCAGCGGUUCUGACGUGCAAAUCGAUCGUCAAAUCUGAGCAUGGGGGCGAAAGACUAAUCGAACCAU
This 817-nucleotide ribosomal RNA is filed under the name Neurospora kobi. RNAcentral describes it as "partial large subunit ribosomal RNA". It matches the Rfam family "Eukaryotic large subunit ribosomal RNA", at positions 93 to 943 of the family's 3401-position model. Lineage: Eukaryota; Fungi; Ascomycota; Sordariomycetes; Sordariales; Sordariaceae. The record is from RNAcentral.